This 464-nucleotide ribosomal RNA is filed under the name uncultured bacterium. RNAcentral describes it as "SSU rRNA". It matches the Rfam family "Bacterial small subunit ribosomal RNA", at positions 26 to 518 of the family's 1533-position model. The record is from RNAcentral.
AGGACAAACGCUGGCGGCGUGCAUAACACAUGCAAGUCGAACGAGUGCAGCAAUGCACGAGUGGCGGACGGGUGAGGAACACGUGGAUGAUCGACCCAGCGCUGGGGAAUACCCCUGGGAAACCAGGGCUAAUACCGCAUGCGCUCUGCUGUGUCAGACAGCGGAGGAAAGCCUUCGGGCGGCGCUGGACGAGUCUGCGCCCGAUUAGCUCGUUGGCGGGGUAACGGCCCACCAAGGCUGCGAUCGGUAGCUGGUCUGAGAGGAUGAUCAGCCACAUUGGGAUUGAGAACGGCCCAAAUCCCUACGGGGAGCAGCAGUGAGGAAUAUUCGGCAAUGGGCGCAAGCCUGACCGAGCGACGCCGCGUGCGGGACGACGCUUUUCGGAGUGUAAACCGCUUUUCUAUUCGACGAGACAGGACGGUAGAGUAGGAAGAAGUCUCGGCUAACUACGUGCCAGCAGCCGC